GACGAACGCUGGCGGCGUGCUUAACACAUGCAAGUCGAACGGAAAGGCCCUGCUUUUGUGGGGUGCUCGAGUGGCGAACGGGUGAGUAACACGUGAGUAACCUGCCCUUGACUAUGGGAUAACUUCAGGAAACUGGGGCUAAUACCGGAUAGGAGCUCCUGCUGCAUGGUGGGGGUUGGAAAGUUUCGACGGUUGGGGAUGGACUCGCGGCUUAUCAGCUUGUUGGUGGGGUAGUGGCUUACCAAGGCUUUGACGGGUAGCCGGCCUGAGAGGGUGACCGGCCACAUUGGGACUGAGAUACGGCCCAGACUCCUACGGGAGGCAGCAGUGGGGAAUAUUGCACAAUGGGCGGAAGCCUGAUGCAGCAACGCCGCGUGCGGGAUGACGGCCUUCGGGUUGUAAACCGCUUUCGCCUGUGACGAAGCGUGAGUGACGGUAAUGGGUAAAGAAGCACCGGCUAACUACGUG
Molecule: ribosomal RNA, 468 nt
Filed under: uncultured bacterium
Lineage: Bacteria
Description: partial 16S ribosomal RNA
Rfam family: Bacterial small subunit ribosomal RNA
Source: RNAcentral